RNAcentral lists this ribosomal RNA (433 nucleotides) under uncultured bacterium. Its description in RNAcentral is "partial 16S ribosomal RNA". It matches the Rfam family "Bacterial small subunit ribosomal RNA", at positions 29 to 507 of the family's 1533-position model. The record is from RNAcentral.
AACGAACGCUGGCGGCAUGCCUAACACAUGCAAGUCGAACGAGACCUUCGGGUCUAGUGGCGCACGGGUGCGUAACGCGUGGGAACCUGCCCUUAGGUUCGGAAUAACUCCCCGAAAGGGGUGCUAAUACCGGAUAAUGUCUUCGGACCAAAGAUUUAUCGCCUUUGGAUGGGCCCGCGUUGGAUUAGCUAGUUGGUAGUGUAAAAGCCUACCAAGGCGACGAUCCAUAGCUGGUCUGAGAGGAUGAUCAGCCACACUGGGACUGAGACACGGCCCAGACUCCUACGGGAGGCAGCAGUGGGGAAUAUUGGACAAUGGGCGAAAGCCUGAUCCAGCAAUGCCGCGUGAGUGAUGAAGGCCUUAGGGUUGUAAAGCUCUUUUACCCGGGAUGAUACUGACAGUACCGGGAGAAUAAGCUCCGGCUAACUCCGUG